UGGGAAUAUUGCACAAUGGGCGCAAGCCUGAUGCAGCAACGCCGCGUGCGGGAAGAAGGCCCUAGGGUUGUAAACCGCUUUCAGCAGGGAAGAAAAUGACGGUACCUGCAGAAGAAGGUGCGGCCAACUACGUGCCAGCAGCCGCGGUGACACGUAGGCACCAAGCGUUGUCCGGAUUUAUUGGGCGUAAAGAGCUCGUAGGCGGUUCAGUAAGUCGGGUGUGAAAACUCUGGGCUCAACCCAGAGAGGCCACCCGAUACUGCUGUGACUUGAGUACGGUAGGGGAGCGGGGAAUUCCUGGUGUAGCGGUGAAAUGCGCAGAUAUCAGGAGGAACACCAGUGGCGAAGGCGCCGCUCUGGGCCGUAACUGACGCUGAGGAGCGAAAGCAUGGGUAGCAAAGCAGGAUUAGAUACCCUGGUAGUCCAUGCCGUAAACGUUGGGCACUAGGUGU
RNAcentral lists this ribosomal RNA (452 nucleotides) under uncultured bacterium. RNAcentral's name for it is "bacterial SSU rRNA". It matches the Rfam family "Bacterial small subunit ribosomal RNA", at positions 356 to 823 of the family's 1533-position model. The record is from RNAcentral.